This 252-nucleotide ribosomal RNA is filed under the name uncultured bacterium. RNAcentral describes it as "partial 16S ribosomal RNA". It matches the Rfam family "Bacterial small subunit ribosomal RNA", at positions 57 to 305 of the family's 1533-position model. The record is from RNAcentral.
GCAAGUCGAACGGUAACAGGACUAGCUUGCUAGUUGCUGACGAGUGGCGGACGGGUGCGUAACGCGUGGGAAUCUACCUUAGAGUUGGGGAUAAGCUUUGGAAACAGAGUCUAAUACCGAAUACGGUCUACGGACUAAAGUGUGCCUCUCCUUGGAAGCACACGCUUUAAGAUGAGCCCGCGUUAGAUUAGCUAGUUGGUGGGGUAAAGGCCUACCAAGGCGACGAUCUAUAGGGGGCGUGAGAGCGUGAUC